GAAAUUGAUGGGUCCAAAAGCAUAUGCAACUUUGAUCUGAUAGUAUAAACUCGCUCUCUAAUGUGGAUGUGAUAAUUCGUCUUCCUCCCAACACUGAGGAACCUUGCUGCUGCUUUCUGUCGCUGUUGCUGGUGGUAAAGGGCCCUUGACUGACACAUUUGAGAGGCUGGUCAAUCCAUGCACAGAGCUGAUAUGAGUUAAGGCAAAGGAAGCUUCAACCUUUAUUUCACUUAGCAGGAUUCCCUGGUUUCUUGGCCACCCAGAGACACCUUCUUGGGACUCAUUUCUCAUCCAACCGAAGGGGCCUGAUGUGCUCCUGGACUCCUUUAAGGAGAGAGAAACUUUGGGUGCAGCAUCACGAAUUGUAAGCAGGAAGCCAGGCUUCUGAGAGUCAGAUGGAACUGCAGCUGGGAGCAGGGGGGUUGUCAUUUGUCUGCCCUGAGCCACCAGAAAGGGUUCAGUGAGUCUUGAACACAGUGAUUAACUUCUCUUUAAUCUACGCAUCACUGCACAGCACAGCCAAUUGCUUGGCUUCCCCAAUAAGAGUCAUGAGUCACUCAAUGUCUUAAUGUGGACUGAGCACGUUUUAUUCCAAGCAGGUGCGACUGUUCCUGUAUGUGCCUUUGAGAUACCUAGGAAAUGAAUAAUGCUUGUUGUCCCCCUCCAACACCAACUGAACAUUGAAUCAAUGGUUUACUAUUUUAAUAACAAGUGAAUAUUGCUCUAAGACUCCUUUUUUUUUUUUUUUUUUUGCUUGUUCAGUGCCAGAGGGAUAGGUUCCCAUUUCUUUUCCUGGCUGUUGGGUCACGGCUGAGGGUCCCUGGGAUGUGGGGCAUCUCCGUAAGUAACAGGAAGUAUAUUAACUCGUGGGUUAAUUAAGAAAAUCAUUGACGAAACCACAUGAGUGUGUGCUGUGCAAGCGACCCUUGGACUGCCAUAGAGGCCAGGAAUAGGGAGGGAAAAUUGGACCCAGCUGUGGCCUGCUUAGCUCUUUUCUUCCAAUGUGGGUCACUCCUUGAACUAGGACAGUCUGCAGGUGUUCCCAUUGUGCUCAGACAAACACUCAACUCUUAACCCUUGAAAGAAAGAAGUAGGAACAAAGGCCUGCUCGGGCAUGCUGGAGACGCAGAAAUUGUGGAGGGAAAAGCAGCAGGCCCUUUUCACAUGGUGGCUGCCUUAUCCUCUCUUACUCUAUUGUUCAAUCUGUUCAACUUAGUUAAGAACCCAUAGAUCUAGAUUCCACCCCCUCCUUCCCUACCACUCUCUGGCUGGGUGACUUUUGGCAAAUUUUCUAUCUUUUCUGAGCCUCAGUUUCUCAUCCUCACAGAACCAUUGUGAACACAAAAUGAGGGGCAGAAUGGGGACAUGUGAUAGGCAGAAUAAUGGCCCCAAAGACAUCCUUGCUCCAAUCCCCAGAACCUGGGAAAGUUAGCUUAUGUGACAAAUGGAGCUCUGCAAAUAUGAUGAAGUUAAGGAUUUUGAGAUGGGAAAAUGAUCCUAGAUUAUCCAGGUGGGCCCAAUAUACUCAAGGGGUCUUUAUAAGAGGGAGGCACACACUCAGAGAGGCAGAAGGCAAUGAGACUACCGAAGCAGAGAUGAGAGUGAUGUGGUCACAAGCUGGGGGAUGCAAGCAGGCCCUAGAGGAACAGACUCUUCCCUAGAGUCUUGGAAGCAGCCAGCCCUGCUGACCUUGACUUUAGCCAAGUGAAACUGAUUUUGGACUUCUGGCCUCCAGAACUGUAAGAGAAUAAAUUGGUAUUAUUUUAAGCCAUCAAGUUUGUGAUUUGUUACAGCAGCUGCAGGAAACUAAUGCAGGCUGAUUUGUAAAGUCCUCCUGUGAAAAUGGAAGAAUCUCCUGCAAUGUAGCCAGAGCCAGGGUGCUGCCUGUGAGGCUGGAUUAUGCCUGCUGCCUGACCCGGCCUGGUCACCCAGAUAUGAGCCCAAGCCCAGUGAGGAGAGACUCCAUGGACAGAGGUGAAGGAACUGUUCUCCAAAGGACUCUGACAGCUUGUGGGUACAAGCUGUGCUGCUUUGGGGCCCAGAUGACAGGUUCUAUUUUUAACUUCAUUUUACAAAUGAGGAAAAGGGGGCACAGAGAGAUUAAGGAGCAGGCCCUAAGUCACACAGCUAAGCAGCAGCAGAGCCAGGAUUUGAUCCUGGGACUAUCAGGCUGCAGAGCUGCCAGUCACUGCCUUGCUGGAGACAAAGGCCCACCCUCGUCAUCCAGCUGCAACUGUGCUUGCAGCUGGCUUUGAGCAAG
RNAcentral lists this long non-coding RNA (2260 nucleotides) under Homo sapiens (human). RNAcentral's name for it is "HSALNT0169271". The record is from RNAcentral. Lineage: Eukaryota; Metazoa; Chordata; Mammalia; Primates; Hominidae.